RNAcentral lists this long non-coding RNA (529 nucleotides) under Marmota monax (woodchuck). The record is from RNAcentral. Lineage: Eukaryota; Metazoa; Chordata; Mammalia; Rodentia; Sciuridae.
AGAUAUUUUAACCCCAGGGUAAAUGAUGAUAAGGAUUGAAAGGGGGAUCAAAUCCCCAAAAUUUGGUAUAAAUAAUGGAGCAAAUGAACAGACAUUCAGCCAGCCGACAAUGAUGCCCUCACACUGAGAGCCUGAUGAGGACUGACACCCCAACACUUUUCACUGUUUGCCUGAUCCUCUGUUCUCACGGCUCUCAAACUCUAAACCCACAUCUUAACCCUGGUGAGAGCUGCAACUUCUCCCUCAACCAGCCCAGGAAAAGUCUGCCUUGGUUCCUGAUCUGAUCACCAUGGUCUGCAUGAGUGUGCAUCUGCUGGGUUUAAAGCCUAAGGCCUGAGACAUUUUUUCUUUUUAAGUUGUUGAUAGACCUUUAUUUUUAUUUAUUUAUAUGUGGUGCUGAGAAUCAAAUCCAGUGCCUCACAUGUGCCAGGCAAGUGCGCUACGAAUGAGCCACAGCUCCAACCCUAAGUCUUUUGAUCUGACACUUGAACUUGGCAUGCAGAGGGGAAUGUCUGUCAUUAGCCUGUCA